GACAGAGGGUGCAAACGUUGUUCGGAAUUACUGGGCGUAAAGCGUGUGUAGGUGGCUGCGUAAGUCGGAUGUGAAAGCCCUGGGCUCAACUCAGGAAGUGCACUCGAUACUGCGUAGCUUGAGUACCGGAGAGGUUGGUGGAAUUCUCGGUGUAGAGGUGAAAUUCGUAGAUAUCGAGAGGAACACCUGUGGCGAAGGCGGCCAACUGGACGAGUACUGACACUGAGACACGAAAGCGUGGGGAGCAAACAGG
RNAcentral lists this ribosomal RNA (253 nucleotides) under uncultured bacterium. Its description in RNAcentral is "partial 16S ribosomal RNA". It matches the Rfam family "Bacterial small subunit ribosomal RNA", at positions 524 to 776 of the family's 1533-position model. The record is from RNAcentral.